GGGAAUAUCCAUAGUCUCCGAUGACAGAAUCGUCUUCAUCUUCGCUGCACGUUGUACAGGACGAUCACUCGCAGUAACAACUCGUCGUCCUCGUCCUGGAGAGUGCAAAAGAACUGGCGAUGGCACCUUAAACCCUAACGAAGCCACAAAGGAGUCCCUUUUUGCUUUUGGGUGCUGGCCCUUCAAGAAACACCUUCUGGCCCAACUAGAAUUGAAUCUUUGAUUUCUUGGACGCCUCCUCCAAUUACAUGGGCUAAGCUUAUAACGCUCACGGUUCAGCCCACGAUGAUCCUGGAUUGGCAGGGGCGGGAGGAUUAUUAAGGGAUUGGACUUUGGGCUUCCAUAGAAAUCUGGGAGCAGCAAAAAAGUGCCUUGGCAGGUUGUUGGGCAUCAAGGGGAUGGUCUAACGCCGGCUGUCCAACUUAGCAUCCCUGUCUUGGAAAUUGAAUUGGACGCCUUACUUGCGGUUAAUUUGAUAAAAGUAAAUAAAUUUGACACCCAGGAAUUCUUUCCUCUUUUUUUUUUUUUUUUUUUUUUACAUGAUGAUUGCAGAACCCUCAUGGACAGCUACAACAGGUCGCAUUAAGGCAUAAAUUCCGAGAUUAUUUUGUAUCCACCCAUAAUUUUGGAAGACAUUAGGGGAAUAUCCCUGCCUAUGACUGAAAUGAACUAGUAGUGGUGAUAUGGUUAAAGGGGUAAAGUGAUAAUAAUCCUUUAUUUAAUAAAUUGCAUCUUUCGUACCAGGAAAAAAAACACACACACACACAUGGGUAUAUAUCUGGAUUUUUUGGAACCCCAAUACAAUUUUCUGAGCAAAGCAUGGAAAAUCUUUUUCCCCUUGAUAUUUGUCCAUUUUGUUGGUCCACCAAUAAGAAUAUAUAUAUAUAUAUAUAUAAUAUAUAUAGAGAGAGAGAGAGAGAGAGAGAGAGAGAGAGAGAAUUAUAUGCACAAUAUCUCACAGAAAUCAAAUAUUGUGUUUUGAUUGUAAAUUAUUUGAGAUAUUUUUAUUAUAGCACUUUUUGUGAUGUGAUGUAUGCGAGAUAAAAAUAUAUAUUAAAAAUUGUAAUGAUAAUAUAAGUAAAUAUAUUUGGAUAAAUAAUCUUUUUUUUUUUAUCAAUUGGAUAAAUAAUCUUUGUCCAGACACACUCAAAGUAAGGAGGCUCUUGAAAUAUAUUAAUACUAUAUAUCCACGGCUAGAAUACGGACAAGCAUGUUAUGGCUUUUGAGAGACACCACAAGAUGGGGGUGCAAAAGGCACAAGGCGAUGGGGCAAUCAUGCACCUUUCGGCUGCGGCCAAUACUUUACAAAGAAUCAAAUAGACAAAUUGGAUUUUACUUUCUUUAUUAUUAUUUCUUGAUUAUUUUGUUUUAUUAGAUUGGAUUGUAAUGUGGGAAUAGGUUUUGUGUUACACAAUAAGCUGUAAUAUUCAUAAAGGUGCCGGUGCGUAACAAAAAUAAAUGUAGUUCAAUGUGUGUAAUAGAAGAGAGUAAUGAAUGUGGAUCGGGCAGCAUCAUUCAUCAAAGCAUGUUGGACAAAAGUGAAAGGAUAUAUUAUACUGAUUGAAGCAUGUUGCCGGUUUUUUAAGUUAUUGCGGGAUUAGAUUUGUUUACGUAAUUCUUACUUCUGUAAGAAAAUGUCAGAAAGAAAAUUCAUUCUUAAGGGCUCAGAGGAUCUUUAUCUCUUAGCAGCAGGAGGACACCCUGUGGGGUUUUCUAUCCCACUUCGAUAUUGGGAAGGAAGGAUUUGGGUAGAUAAGUCCUUCACAGGAUUUCAAAAGUUAUCGAUUUUUUAAGUAACUGUAGAGAUUAGAUUUAUUUACGUAAAUUUUUACUUCCGUAAGAAAAUGUCGUAAAGAAGCAAAUGACGUGACCGGUUCAUCACCAAUCAAGUUGAGCGUAGAAAUUUACAACCGGCCCGGCCCACAUCCAUGCAAUGCUGAGCGACUAGUUGUACUCGUAGUUGCUGUAUCCCACUUGAAUGAAUUUUGACGGUCCUCUUUUUUUAUCUCAUUGAAAUCUCAUUUGUCGUCUUCCUCGCGUUUGUCCGGUGAUGUCCUCUAAUCCAUCUAUCGCCACGUGGAAAAUUUUUUUAUUGGCCGCUGUUGGCAAUUGCCAGGAGUUCCACAUAGAUUUUUCUUUUUUUUUUUUGGUGGUACUAUGAUGCAGACUUUUUUAUUAUUGUACGAUAAUAAUAAUUUGGAUAGCACAAAUAUCUCAAAUAAUAUUUCAUCUGUAUCAUAAAUACAUUUUUCAAUCCACUUUUUUAUAUAUUCAAUUAUCUUUUUAUCUCACAUACAUCACAUCACAAAAAGUGUUACAGUAAUUAUUUCAAAUAAUACUCUAUCCAAACAAACCAGUUAUAAUUUAUUUUUGUUUCAACGUAUUGCUGUAGUACCUAAAACCUCUGUUUUUAAAUUCGGACCAGAUCGACCUGUCCGAAUUAAUCCUAAAAACCAGAAAAUCAAAAAUUCGGUCAAAUCAGGUCAAAACCCCGGGUUUGAUAGGGUUUUGACCCAGUUUGACCGGAAAAAUGAACCGGAACUCUCUUUUGUUUUUUAACUUUUUUUGAAAGGUCAGAAUAUUUUUAAUAUGAUGUUUUGAUCCUUAAGGUGCUAAAAAUUAUUAACAUAUCUCAAAUAUUUCAUAUUUUAUAAAUGUAUACUUAAAAUUUGGUGUUAUUUUUCAAUUAAAUCCAUAAUUUUAAUUCUAAACUCGUUAAUGCUUAUUAAAUAAUAUAAAUUGCUAUUUGAUUGCUCUAAUUUAUUUGUAUUUUCUUAUUGAAUAUAUUUGAAACAUCAAAUAUAUAUGAAUAUAUCUUUAUUAAUAUUAACAUGUUGUUAAGUAUUUUACAUACAAUAUUUUAUUUUUUAAAUAAAUUUUAUUUAUGACGUCAUUCGUUCAACUCUUAUCGAAUCCGGUUGAACCGAUUAACCCCUGACUCCUGAGUUCGACCGAAUCGAUAUCCGGUCCGAUUCUGAAAAUAUAACCUAAAACAUUCAUGGGUCUCGGAAGACUACUCUACUAGUACUUACUGAGUACCAAAAUGUUUGUCUUCCAAUUGAGUGCUGCCCUUAAUCUGGUCAAUGGAGGUUUUCCAAUCCCACUAGACUCAAUUAAUUGCCUUGGAGAUGAAUAAAAAUUAAAAAUGGCAAUGGCCAACUCUGAAUUGGCAUCUGGCGAGAAAGGACAUUUUUGAAAUUCUGAAAUCAAUAGAAGAAAAAAAGGUUUGUUUGUGUUUUGGUUGAGGAAGAGCCCAAGAGCUGUUUUGCUUUGCAUGAUUGAUGAAUUGAACACAAGCUGUACUUGUUUUUGAGAGAUUUGAGAGAAGUAGUUAACGGGUUCCUUAAACUCGUACUAACAAAGUGUAAUGUUCGAUUGUAGGACAUGAUAGAUUAAAUAAAAAUACGCCGAUGGGCAGUUGGUUGAAGUGGGACGAUGUGGAAAGUUGUGACUCUGCCUCCCACUCACCCUUUAGAAUAACAGGCCUGUUUGGAACCUGAGUUUUUUAGGAGUUUGUUUAAAACUUUACUGUAGUGCACUGUAGAAGUUUUUAAAAAAAUUUUGUAGAAGUUUUUAUAAAGUGAAAAUUUUUUUUGUAAGGUGUAAAAUUUUGUAGAAGUUUUUGUAGAGUGAAAAACUUUUUUUCCUUUUCUUUUUUUUUUCUUUCUUUUUCUCUUUCUCUUUCUUUUUCUUUUCUUUUUUCCUUUUUUUUCUUUUCUUUCCUCUCUUCUUCUUCUUCUUCCUUUUUCUUCUUCUUCUUUCUCUCUUUCCUCCCCGUUACCUCCCAGCAGCACUCACGCCCCGCCACCCCUCUCCUCCCUUUCUCCUUCUCCUCCCGCCACCUCCCCUCUGCCACCGUGACCCCUUCCCCCCGCCACCCCCUGUGCCCCUUCCCCCUGUGCCACUGCGACCCCCUCCCCCCGCCACCCCCUGCCCUUUCCCCAGCUUCUCCCGCCACUUCCCCUGGGCAACCCCUUCCCUACCACCCCUAUCCUUUCCCCAGCGCGACCCCCUCCGGUGGAUGGCGCUGAAAUAGUCCCUCGGUUUCCGGUAAAAAGCAUCGAGGAAUUUACGGAACUUGGAACGCUUCGUCGCGGAGGAUUUGCUCUUCUACAUCCAGUUGAAUAAAGAAACCAUCACGUUGAAUUUGAUGUCAAAUUCCUCCAUCCUGGACUUUUUUUUCCCCUUUUUUUGCUUUUUCUAAGCUAUGAUUUUGCUUGUUCGGUUCUUGGGGUUCUAUGUUCAUUUUUUGUGUUUGAAAAUGAAUGAUUUAAAAACCGCCUGAAAGGGGGAGGGGGAAGGGGGCAGGGGAGGCAGAGGGGAAGAGGGGAGGGGGAGGGAAAGAAAAAAAAAACCUUAUGUAUGGCCGGAACUGGCCGCCGGAAUAGUAACCGGUGUCGGAAGUGGUGGUGGAGGUGGUGGCCGGAGGCUGAGGAUGUGGUGGGUUGGGUGGGGGAGGAAAAAGAAAAAAAAGUUUGAAGGGAAAGUUUUUUUUGUGUAUUUUUUAAGUGUGUAGGUAAAAAGAUUUGAGAAGUUUUUUGGGGUUCCUGUAACAAAAGUUGUUAAAAAACUAGUAGGUAAAAAACUUGGUCAAAAAAUUCACUUUCAAACAGGGCCAACGUUUUGAAAAAGAAAAAAAAAACGUAAUAUUUCACUUAAUGGAGUGAAAUUUAUUCAUAUUCACGCGUACACCGUCACAAUAAAUUCAAAUUAAACGUAUCUUCUCUUCUGGACCAUCAACUAAGCCAUGCAAUUUGAGCAUCAUAUAUCAAAGGGAGUCGAGCCUCUCCGCCUCCACCGCCGCGCCCUUUGGUCUUCAUGAUUCAUCCCUACGCGGUUGCAAUGGUGCUGUGCUGGAUUGGAUUAUGCCAGCUGCUUUUUUUUUCUUUUUCUUUUUCUUUUUCUUUACUGUUGAUGGGAAAAAUUUGCGUGCGUGAAAAUAGAUAGAAGCUUCUGCUCCAUCUCACACAAGCAUCUCUGCUAUCUUUUGCAGUAGCAGACAGUAGUAUUUACCAUCCCUGUUAUCCACCAUUAAUUCAAUUCAUAUGCUCUCCUUUUUGCCUUAUCCUUUUUUGGCGUUAAAAUUGUCAAAUCAAGCUUUCGGCCAAAAGGAUCACGGCAGGGAAAAGGUUUUGGAAUUUUAUGGGUCCUAACUUUCGUAAUUGUUGUUGUUUCUUGAAAUGUAGUACUACUAUUAUUCAAGAGGAUGUUCAUGGAAGGUUGAAUCUUAUAAACCAUCCAAUUUCCCUUUCUCUCUUCUGACCCCCCCCCCCCAAUUCUGCACAAUUCCAGUCUUCAUGCCUGACGUUAAUGCUGAAACUCUGAUUUUAUCUUCACAGCAACUUUUGGACAUCAUAUUCUUCUCAACUUCAAAUGUGUUUACGCUUCCAAAAGGACUAAUAUUGUCCUUUUUGUGAUCUCAGUCGCUAUUGAAAUAAAAUCCGAGCUGUUGCAAUAUGAUUUUUGCCCAUUUGACUACUACUAGUGGUUAGAAUCGUUAAACACUAGUGGUAAUGUUUGAUAUUUUUAGAUGUCAUAUAUUAAUAGAUGAAAAUUAUUUCAAAAUGAAAUACUCACAAAUAUUAUGUAUUCGAUUUGAUAAUUUUGUAUAAAGGCGCGAACAUAUUUUGCAUCAAUCAAUUUUUAGUAUGAAAAUCAAUAUUGGUGAUUUAAUUAAUUCUGUUAAAUUUUGUACAGUUCAUACUACAAAAAAAUGUUCAAUGAGACUUGUAUAUCUCGAAAGCAAACUUGCCGAACCUUUUUUAAAUAUUUCAAUUGAAUCAUUAUGGUGUAAGAUUCAUUUUGUAAUAAGUUGUUUUCUCCUUUAUAAUCUUGCAAGUUUGAAAUCAAUGAUGGAACUAAGGGGGCUAAUAGGGGCCAUAGCCCCUCCUAAAGUUUUAAAAAUUUUAAUUCAUAUUGUGUAAAUAUUUGUGUAAAACAAAGUUGGCUCUCAUAAUUUUUUUACAAUUUUAGUUUAUAUUAUGAAAAAAUAUAUAUAUAUAUAUAUAUGGAUAUAUGUGUGCAUGUGUGUGUGUGAAUUAACUACAUUUGAAUUAAUUUUUUUCUUAAAAAAGUUAUUUAUUUUAUAAUCCCUUUAUAAUAAAAAUUAAAAUUUAAUAUUUUUAGAUGUCAUAUAUUUAAAUAGAUAAAAGUUAUUUGAACAUAACACAUAAUAAUAAUUAUGUUAGGAAAAUUUUUAACCCCUCUAAAAAAAAAUUGACUUCGUCACUAAUUGAAAUGUUUGUAAAUGGGAUCCAUUCAUGGUAAGAGUAUGAUAUAUAAUUUUUUUUCACUAUAUUUAAUUUGUGUGAUGACAAAUGAAAAUGGGUAAAAUGGGUUAGUUAUCAUUAGUUUUGCGAAUAAUUAUGAGAGUAAAAUACAUUAUGAUAAUAAGAUGUGUAGAAUUGUGAAAUUUGUAAUCAAACGGACUCCUAAAUUUUUGGAUGUGUGACUUUCGUAGUUGCGAGUUUCUUAAAUUAACAAUUAGUUAUUGCUUGAUAAGUGUAAGUAUUGCUAUUAGUGAUAUGGUAAGUGUCAGUAGUAAAUGUGAGACGUAAAAUUUUGCGGACGUGGUUAUUAUCUGUUAGUUAAAACUUAGGGUUUUAAUUUUGCAGGUUAGUGGAUCACAUAAAUUAAAGAGUGGAAAGGGAUAAGGAGAAGAUAAGGGUUAUUGAACUAAAAUAAAUAUAAAAUUAUAGUAAAAAGGGAUUCAGAUUUCUAAUGUUUGUGGAAGCUCCUCGUCAAAAACCUGUCUAAUAUGUAUAGAUAUAGAUAUAGAUACCUUUAACAUCUGAUUAUAUAUUGUUGAUACUGCCAAUCAAUGUAAUCACAAAUAAUUUUCAUGCAUAACUACCCAUUAUGGUAAUCACCAAGUUAAUUAAAAGUCUAUUAAACAAACUUUAAAAGAUCAAUUUUUUUAAUGAAAAAUUUAUACUAAAUUCUUUCAUAUAAAAAGGGAUUGUUUCUAAAUUGUAUAUACAUCGAGUGUAUCCUUAUCAUUGGUACUAAUAGUAGUGUAUUACAAGGAUUUUUCUUCGCAGACAAAUCUAUGCAAAUUUAAUAAUAUCAGCUGUUCUCUUCCUCGUGAAAUCCAUUAAAAAAAGAAAGAGAGAAAAGAUGAGUUUUGAAGUGUAUGUAUUUGAAUUGGGUGUACUAAUAAACAUUGAGCAUAUACUUCUUUUUUUUUUUUUGUGUUAGAAAACUUAGAAUAGUACUUCUUCUUCUUUUUUUUUUUUGGUGUGUUAGAAUACCACUAAUUUUUUUUUCAUAAUUAGAAUUACAUGUUUAGAAAAAAGAAGAAGAAGGAAAAGAACAACCGGCAAAUACACAAUCUGGAUUCUGGAUCUGUCUCAAUCUCUCUCACGCACAGAAAAACAGAGGGACGAUCCGCCCGUAAAAAGAGGCAGGGCGGGGGAAUUGGACUCUCUCAUUCGUUUCAAUUCAUUUCCAGAACCACAAUUCCACUCCCCCUUCUAUCUCUUUCCCCAUCAUCAUUCAUUCACUAGUCAUCCGUCCUUUUUCCCAUAGCGCUCUCUCUGGAUUCUUUCUUCUUUUUAUCUCUGAGCAACUUCUCUUGCAGUAGUAAUAACAAUCUACAGGGACAGCCACCCCCAUUGUGAUUGCAUUUUGCCUCUAUAUACUACACAAAUUUAAGGAAGCGGAGCUUUGGUUGGUUGUGGCCGCAUUGUUUUUCGUCAUCUACAACCAACAAACUCUCAGAAUCGUAUUCCGUCUCGGUUUUGCCUCUUAACGAAAAUCCCUGAUUGUCCCCACCUCGUCCUCUUUCUUUCAAACGCUGUUACUAGCCUCAUCCUUCACUUUCUUCAUUGCCGCUGCUGCCCUCCUCCUCCUCCUCGACCACCUUAAGGAGCCAAGUAUAUCAUUCCUUUCUUUUUUCUUUUAAAUAGGAGGCAUAAUACCAGAGUAGUACUAUCUUUUUUCCUAUGGGAAGGACGAGGGAUACAGGCCUUAGCACAAAAGGUAGGUGUAGGAGGGUGUCGAGGAUUGGAAGCUAUGCUAUAGCCUCCUCAAUUGCCGAUCCCACCUGCAUUUCUUGUACCACCUUCAACAUCCUGCCCCUAUCUACAAGCGUCUCAACCAUGAGGUUCCUCUCUCUCUCUCUCUCUCUCUCCCCCCCGCUCUGUAUGUGUUUUCUAUUUCAUUCUCUUUUCACGAAAAGGAUUAAUUGGUUGGUCUUUCCUUUCUGUUGAGGUUGAUUGCUUAUUGGGUUUGGGUGGGGGAUGGCAGGACCAGAGUAUCAGGGAAAGCGAGAAGAAGGCUUAUUGGUUGAACAGGAACCACAGGAUAUUGGAUUGGUUGUUGUACGAAAGAUCUUCCAUUAUCUGCCUCCAGGUAAUCUUUCCUCGUGUAGCUCUUGUUAUUCCUUCCUCUCCUUAACAAUUCUGAUUAAAUUCAUCCUCUUGACACCCCCUUUUGUGCUAUGUUUUUUCCAAAUACAGGAAUUUUGGGUUGGAAACGAAGAGCUUGUUAAUAUUUACAACAAGAGGCUUGGAGCUGCUGGCUAUACUAUUUUUAAACUCGCGCGAACCAACAAUCGUGGCGAUGGUAGGUGGCUCCUUUCAACCCCCCCCCCCCCUUCUUCUCCUUCCUUUUCGUUUAUUUUGAUUUAAAAAAAAAAGAAAUUAUUGAACUGGGGAGGCUCUGUGGAAGUCAUCAUUAAGUACUAUUAUCACAUUUGGUUUUGGUCAUCUGUACUUUGCGUUGAAAUUGCCAAUGUGAGGCCUGCCUGCUGCAUCCUUUUCCCCCAUGUUCUAACUUCUAACUUCUUUUCUUGGUUUAUCCUCAUUUUUAUCUGCAUUCCAAUAGCGCAUUUCCAGUAGGCAAAUUGCUCUAUUGCUGGGUUCUUAAAUGGUACAGGUGAAGGUAAAGAGAUGUGGAAAAGCAAGAGUAGAGGAAUAUGAAAAUGAAGAAGAAAUGAUAUAGUUUUAAUUGGGGAUAUCGAAACCGUCAAACAGAGUUGUUAGCGAAGUAGUUAGUCGAGGAGUACUAGUUUUGCUGCCCCAGAAAUGAUUUUUUUUUUUUUUUUGGAGUUUGCACAUCUGACGCCAUAUAUGCUGAUAAAAUUAUCUUGUUGACUCGGGUACAAGCAUACGUGAUAAUUCUUUAGAGCAUGUGGGGGUUGAACCAACAUGUUAUGGGUUGACAUUAGCACUGCCUAGUGAAUAAAGUGAAAAAAAAAUGAUCUUAACUCUAGGUGAAGAAUUAGAAUAUUUUAGAAUUAUGCUUCCUAGCUAACCUGUCUCCCCCCCCCCCUCCCCCUCGCCCUCUGAAAUUGUACAGGUUUGUUGACUGCUGUCCAUCGGGACAUAUUUAGGGUCAUGAACCACCGAGAGUUGCUAUUUAAUGAUUUCGGAGACCGAGUUGCUCAGCUGUUACAUGUUGAACUUAUUGCACCUUUCUCACAAAGUCGAAAUAGCAAUGUCGUCAAGAAAUUCUCAUUGUGAACACCCAUUUGUUGUUUCCACACAAUUCAAGUCUGUGUUUGGAAAGACUGCGGCAGGUCUGUCAAAUCUCUUUAUUUAAGUCGUGGUCGUAUACUGCUAAUUUGGUGAACCAUAGCAUGGUUUGCUUCAUAUGUCCACUCACUGAUGCUUUUUUUUAUUGUCAUGCCACCCAUAAAUAGGUGUACAAAAUAUUGCAAUAUGUGGAAUCUUAUCAAAAGGAAAACAAGCUCAACCCCCUUCCCAUUAUCCUCUGCGGGUAAACCUCUUUUUAGUUAUUUUGCAAAUAAUCCCAGCCAUUGUUAAAGCAUUACUCAUAACAUGCUCCUUUCUUUGCCAUUUCAGAGAUUGGAACGGAAGCAAGCGAGGUCAUGUUUACAAGUUUCUGCGAUCUCAGGGAUUUGUAUCAUCAUAUGAUACUGCUCAUCAGUACGCUGAUGCUGAUGCACAUAAGGUGACUUGCUUUUCAUAUUCAAAUUGCUUGUAGGAGUACCAAGUUUACUCCAGUGUAUGACGUCUUAAACUUUUAUGCAGGGUAAGCCACCGUAAUCAUCGUGGAAAUAUCUGUGGUGUAGAUUUCAUAUGGCUACUGAAUCCAAACAGAUAUCGAAAAUUACUGAAAACAAGUUGGAGUGAAGCUGUCUUUGGAAUGUUCAAGGUGAGAUAAUGCGUCCACUUUGUGUAACUUUUCACUCUACAGUGCUAUUAUUGAGACUAUUAUUUUUCUUUACAUGCUUGAUGUAGUUUUGAUCUUGUAGUCCUUGCUGGUUGACUGCUCUUUAGAUGGCUGAAAAGGCUAUAGUACAGAGUUUUUACUUAAUCGUGUUCUCUUUAACCCUUGGAACUCUGGAUGCUGAACUGUGACCAUAUAUGUUUGGAUUUGUAUCACCUUCUUUGGGCAUAUAUGUUUGCCCUUUCUCCUUUAUGGUUGGCUUCCUGUUUUGCGACAGAUGGCACUUUCAUAUGGAAAUUAAUAUUUUGGACUUAAAAAGAUAAUAAAAUAAUUUAUGCAGCAUCUUUCUCAAAUUACUUUGAUUAUUUGGUACAAGAUAUAUUAUGGGUGCAAUAUAUCUUUUGGACUUAAAAGAUAGCCUUACUCAUUGGCAACAACUGUUGUCUAUGAUUUGAAUUCUGUUUUUUUCUGUGCUUUCUUUCCUCAGUGAUACAUAUUCCGAUUAUGGUCUUCUUUUUUUUUUUUAACAUUUGAUGGAUUUCAGUAUCAACUUCGACGAGCUUCAUUGACAGAGCACGAUGCAUUUGCCUUUUUGAAGGCUGAUAGUGACGGUGAUUACAUUACUUGCACUGGUUUCUGUGAAGCAUUGCGGCAGGUAGCACUAUAAAUUUAUACUUAACAAGUACUCUACAUGAUAAAAAGUCAUUCAAUUUUGUUUGAACUAAGGUCAAUUCUUCAAUCUGAUUUUAUUUCAUAAUUUCUCAGCUUAAAUUGGUUGGCCAUUGCUAUGGGCUAAGCAUAGACGAGACUAAAGACUUGUGGGUGCAAGCAGACAUUGAUGGAAAUGGUGUUCUUGAUUUUGAAGAAUUUGAGGUAUUUGAUCUUUUUCUUUUGUAGGAUAUUGUGCUGUCAGCUUCACAUGUAUGGCACACCUGUGCGUUGAAACGUCCUUCAUCAAAUCUUUCCUUUUAAACAUAGUUAUCAAUUGAACUUUUCUAAGUUGGUCUCAUGGAGUACAGCAAAAGGAAAUUGAACUUUUCUUCAGAUUAUGUCUUCUAGUAGUUCGUUCAAAGGAUUUAGUUGCCUCUUAUAUUGCUAUCCUUCUGAGAGCGCUACUUCUUCAGAUUUGGACACCUAUGCAUGGACGAUAACUUUUUUUUCCAAUAAUGAAAUUGCAGCAACGAAUAUGGCACCCUACAUGGUCAGAGGUUAGAGAGGAAUUUAGCAAGGAUGGGUGGGAUGAUGUUGUCCAUGGUACAGAGCAAACAAUUGGUUUCAGCGUGAAGAAUGCAGUACUUUUCCCAACAGAAGUAGAGAAAGGGAUGUGGCCUGAGGACUAUUCACUCUCUGAUCAUGCCCGGCUUACUGUGGUGUUUUCACCAGUAAGAAUGCCAUGUUCUCGUCUGAUAUCCUGACAACUGUGGGUGCUGUAAGGCUUGGUUCUUAUGCUUGUGACUCAAGAAAACAGGACCGAAGGUUUUACGAGUCUGUUUGAUGCUGAAACAACCCUCGGUGGGUUCAAGUUGAAGAUGCGGAGUUUGAAAAGCACAUAUCUAUCAGGAUGACUAUUGCACCCACCCUCACGGACAAAAAAGUGGACUUUCAUUUAUCUGAGGUUUAGACCUGUUUGGAGCAACAUUGUCAGCUGAAGCUGGUUGCAUUCUCUCUCUCGCUCUCUCGUUGUAUCCAGAUCUCCCACUGAUGCGGUGGAUCCAUGGAUCUCACUGCAUAGCCUCCUGCUUUUGCAUUGCGUCUAGAAGAAAGGAGAAGGAAGCGGGAUGUGUGGAUGGUGUUAAAACAGGUAUCUUGGUAGCAGUCUCCUGUUGUAGUGGAGGGAGAUGGCACGCUGGGCUGGUUUCUGUAAUUAGACUGCCAAAAGUUCAGGUUAGUAAGGGCGACAUGAAAGUCCUUUUAAAGGAAUUCAAGAUCAGCAAUGUUGUUGACCUUGUAAAGGAAUUCUGGCUAUACUACUGCCUUCCCUUUUGACCUGUUCCAAGUAUUCCAGUUCAAUGACGACACAGAGAGAGAAAAGGCGAGUCUACUCAUUUCCAGUUCCAAGUAAUCCAGUGUCUUUGUGAUUCAUGGAAGUCCUUUUGUUUUGGUAAAGGGCCAUUGUGCCGCCGUGCGGGAUCCCAGAACAUCUGCUGACAAAAUUGGGAUUCUUGGUGGAGAUAAUUUUGUUUUUUUUUUUUUUGGGCAGAUAUAUAAAAUAACAAAGAAACUAAAAUGUAAUGAUAGUCGUAAAUUGUAGUCGUAAUUCAGGUUGACGGCUGAUGAUAUGUUAUGAAUUUAAUGAUGAAAGCGAAUGUAAUUUCCGUGUAUAGAAAAUUAAUCCAAUAUAUAUAUAUUUCUCACUCAUACUUGGCGUGCUCAAUUGAGCAGCAUUGACGGGCCAAGUUUUCUUUUGGGUUGACCCAAUUAAUUGGUUGGUGUUAAUAAUUCUUUCCAAACUUGUAAAAUAGAUAUAUUUUAUUCACUUAAUCAUAUAUCUUUGAAAAAUACAUAUAUUUUAUCCACUUAAUCACAUAUCUCUCAAAUCCUCUACGUUUUACAAAAAAAAUCGUCUCAUUCUUUUAAAAUUUUCUCUUCAUAAUCUCCAACUUUUAUCUUACAUAGAAUUUAUCUUAUUUUAUAAGAGAAUAUCCCUUUUCACUCAAACAGUAUCCACUCUUUUUGAUUACGAAUAGAUAAAUCUAUUAUCUAUCCGUCAAAAUUCAUUCAGAUAUAAAAUAAUCCUUAUCAAGAAAAUUAAAAGUUUUAUUCUUGUAUUAGAUUAACCUCAAAUUUGAAAUCAUAUACCAUUCUUAUAAAAUGUAAUAGUUAGUGAUGAUUUCGAUCUUCUCAUACUCAAGAUUUUUUUUUUUUUUUUUUUUUGGAGAAACUUUAUGAUGAUUUAGUAGUGGUUCUUUUGAUACAUUAGUUUUAGAACUUCUAGAGUAUAUAUGUUUUAAAAAAUGUUUGCCCACCUUUUUAGGUUUUUCAAGUAUAUAAGAUGAUUUUUAAGAACACAAUUCGUUUGCGCAAUGUUUUUGUUGACUGUAUGAAUGUAUGGAAAGUUCGUACUUUUUUUUGUACCUUCUUAAUUGCUUUAUAUAUUAGAUCCUUUUUUCAAUAUAGGUUUAAUUUUGCACCAAGAAGAUGGCAUUUGAACAUCUAACCUUUCAAUCAUGGGAAUGUACAGCGUAUGUGUAAGUUCUUCCAAUUUACAUUAGUUCAAUUAAUUAGUUCGUUCCUCGCUCUGUCUUAUUUAUUUAUUCAUUAUGUUUUAGUUAAUUGAUUAUGGUGUGGCGAUGGAAGCAAGAUGGACUUACAUGCUAAACAAGAUGUAUUUUUUUUAAGAGAAGCAAGGUGUACGUUUUCAUAAAUUAGUUGACUCAUAUAUAUAUAUAUAUAUAUUGGAAUAUUGUUCCCAAAUCAAGUUUUACCCAAUUUAUUUUUCACUACUCCUUCUUUUAAUCAUAUUUAAUAAUUCUAUAUAUUUUCAAUUUAUUAAAAGUUUUAAACACUUUAUACUAGAUAAGUAUUAAAUAUUUUCAUAAUCGCUAUAAACUAUGUCAACCGUGCAAGUGCACGGGUUAAAAUCUAGUUGAAAUUGAAGGGCAUACGUUGAUCGAUCAUCCUAAAGAAAAUUGCAAGGGUUACAACUUGGUGUAAAUGUUCACUUAAAUUGAAUUUUAUAUUUUUCAAAGAGUACACUUAUGCUAAGCGAUUUUAAAAAAAUAGUAGUAUGAGUUAAACAUUCUUAAAAUCAAGAAGUGUGCCCUCAUAUCAUUUUAGUACUACCCCGUCCCAUAAAAUUUGUCGAUAUAUAUAUAUAUAUAUAUAGCGAUAUUAAUAGGAAUCAGAAUGUUUACUUUCCUUAUACUUCCUUAGUGGUGGGCCAUCUUUUCGAGAGAGAAAUAGUACAGAUCAAUGUUGUUAAAGUCAGAUCGGAUAGUGAUUCGGCUAAACUAUUGAGUCAGGGAUCAAUUGAUCGGAUCAGUCAGACCGUUCUAAAAAACCCGCUAACGUUAGCAUGGUGUCAUAAUUAUUCUAUAUUUUUAUAAGUUUCAAAAAUAUUGAAAAUAAGUUAUUGGUUAUAUUCGACCAAUCAUACAAAAUGUUUCAAAAAUAUUAGACUUGUAAUCAAAUAUAUACCUAAUAAUUAUAUAUAAAAAUGUAAAUUCUUGACUAAAAUAUGCCUUACUUGAAAACUUAAAUUAAAAUAAAUUAAUGCAAGUUGGAAUCACUUAUGCUAAAUUGACCAGAUGAUAGGAAUGAAAUGUCUUGAUUUAGAGAUCAUUUAAGAAAAUGAGUGAUUUUGGUAUUUAUACUAAGUAGGUGGCGUUUUCAUAUUCCUAUUAAUAAAUGAAAGUGUUACAAUUUAGAUAACUUGAAUUAUGUCUGAAAAAAACCAGAAAGAAAAGUUUGAGAACACAGUAAACCAGUCGAAUCGGGUCACUAGUUUAAUUGAUUUUUGUUAAUUUUGACUAAUUUUAGACCAAAGUGAUUUUUGUCGAAUCGGGUCACGAUCGGACCGGCCAAAUCGGCCGAUCCAAUCUGGGUCUAACAACACUGGUCCAAAUCAUUGAUUUUUUUAAGAUGACGAUUAAUUUGGGAAAAGAAAAAGCGAUAAACAUGAAAUUUUAUGGGACUAAGAAAAUAUGUUGUUUAGAGUAGAAAAUUAUUUUUUUUUAUAAAAAAGUUUUUCCUUUUCGAAAUAAGAAAUGGUUAUGGGUAGCUGACCCUCUCAGUCCGUUCUUGUCAGAAUAAGGCCUACUUUUUAUACUUUUUAAAUAAAAAUUUCUCCGCUUAAUGGAUAACCGUUUGUUACCAAUGGAGAAUUGCUUCUCAUCAUUAUUGGAUUUGCACCAAUGGAAACCAUAAAAUUCAUACACAAUGGAGGGAUAUGAUAGAUUGUCUUAUUUUUUUAGAUAGUAAAUGGAGUCCCCCUCUUACAUAUUAUAUUCGCCGGUACGUAUCAUUGAUACUGGAGAGGUUGUUUUUUUACUUUUGUGCCUGCUCAUGAU
RNAcentral lists this long non-coding RNA (15143 nucleotides) under Coffea arabica (coffee). RNAcentral describes it as "long non-coding RNA (CARA_LNC000841)". Lineage: Eukaryota; Viridiplantae; Streptophyta; Magnoliopsida; Gentianales; Rubiaceae. The record is from RNAcentral.